UACGGAGGAUGCGAGCGUUAUCCGGAUUUAUUGGGUUUAAAGGGUGCGUAGGCGGUUUUUUAAGUUAGUGGUUAAACGUCGGGGCUUCACCUUGAUUUGCCAUUAAUACUGUAGAGCUAGAGAACAGACGAGGUAGGCGGAAUAAGUUAAGUAGCGGUGAAAUGCAUAGAUAUAACUUAGAACACCGAUAGCGAAGGCAGCUUACCAGACUGAGUCUGACGCUGAUGCACGAGAGCAUGGGUAGCGAACAGG
RNAcentral lists this ribosomal RNA (252 nucleotides) under uncultured Odoribacter sp. RNAcentral describes it as "partial 16S ribosomal RNA". It matches the Rfam family "Bacterial small subunit ribosomal RNA", at positions 524 to 776 of the family's 1533-position model. The record is from RNAcentral. Lineage: Bacteria; Pseudomonadati; Bacteroidota; Bacteroidia; Bacteroidales; Odoribacteraceae.